Molecule: ribosomal RNA, 253 nt
Filed under: uncultured bacterium
Lineage: Bacteria
Description: partial 16S ribosomal RNA
Rfam family: Bacterial small subunit ribosomal RNA
Source: RNAcentral
UACGUAGGGUGCGAGCGUUAAUCGGAAUUACUGGGCGUAAAGCGUGCGCAGGCGGUUCGUUAUGUCCGAUGUGAAAGCCCCGAGCUUAACUUGGGAAUGGCAUUGGAAACUGGCGGGCUGGAGUGCGGCAGAGGGGGGUGGAAUUCCACGUGUAGCAGUGAAAUGCGUAGAGAUGUGGAGGAACACCGAUGGCGAAGGCAGCCCCCUGGGCCGACACUGACGCUCAGGCACGAAAGCUAGGGGAGCAAACGGG